RNAcentral lists this ribosomal RNA (252 nucleotides) under uncultured bacterium. RNAcentral describes it as "partial 16S ribosomal RNA". It matches the Rfam family "Bacterial small subunit ribosomal RNA", at positions 524 to 776 of the family's 1533-position model. The record is from RNAcentral.
UACGUAGGGGGCAAGCGUUGUCCGGAAUUAUUGGGCGUAAAGCGCGCGCAGGCGGCUUUGUAAGUCUGGUGUUUAAACCUAGGGCUCAACCCUGGGUCGCAUUGGAAACUGCAAGGCUUGAGUGCAGAAGAGGAGAGUGGAAUUCCACGUGUAGCGGUGAAAUGCGUAGAGAUGUGGAGGAACACCAGUGGCGAAGGCGACUCUCUGGGCUGUAACUGACGCUGAGGCGCGAAAGCGUGGGGAGCAAACAGG